This 253-nucleotide ribosomal RNA is filed under the name uncultured bacterium. Its description in RNAcentral is "partial 16S ribosomal RNA". It matches the Rfam family "Bacterial small subunit ribosomal RNA", at positions 524 to 776 of the family's 1533-position model. The record is from RNAcentral.
UACGUAGGGUGCGAGCGUUAAUCGGAAUUACUGGGCGUAAAGGGUGCGUAGGCCGCACGGUAAGUCAGAGGUGAAAUCCCGGAGCCCAACUCCGGAAUGGCCUCCGAUACUGCCGUGCUCGAGGACUGGAGAGGAGUCUGGAAUUCACAGUGGAGCAGUGAAAUGCGUAGAUAUUGUGAGGAACACUAGUGGCGAAGGCGAGACUCUGGACAGUUCCUGACGCUGAGGCACGAAGGCCAGGGGAGCAAACGGG